This is a long non-coding RNA of Astatotilapia calliptera (eastern happy), 452 nucleotides long. The record is from Ensembl. NCBI's taxonomy places the organism in Eukaryota, Metazoa, Chordata, Actinopteri, Cichliformes, Cichlidae.
CUGCAGCCGAUUACAGAUUUGAAACAUCAUCUGUUUGUGUUUCCUCUGCUUGUAGUUGUAACAUGACCUGAGUGUGUGUGUUUGCAUUUUCCAGAUACACAUCAAGCUGAUACACAUGUUGUCUACUCUGACGUGAGGAUUCUCACUGCAGAGCAGUCAGCUGAUCCAGGUGUUGUGUAUUCAUCACUGAGAGCAGAUUUCCUUGGACCUGUCCCUGAUUCUGCCCUGGAUCCCUGAGUCAGCCUUGGACUGCCUUCAGAUUAUACAGAAAGCUGCUCAAACAUUACUCCAGUUUUGGCUUCUCUUCAUUGGUUGCCAGUAAAUGUUAAACUUUUAGUCAGAACUUUUAGAGCUCUUCACGGUGAAGCUCCCCAGUACAUCUCUGACCUGUUUAAACCUCACGCUUCAUCCUGAGCACUUAGGCCUUCAGGUCAGAGGUCACUGUUGGUCCC